RNAcentral lists this ribosomal RNA (532 nucleotides) under Vibrio atlanticus. RNAcentral describes it as "bacterial SSU rRNA". It matches the Rfam family "Bacterial small subunit ribosomal RNA", at positions 379 to 903 of the family's 1533-position model. Lineage: Bacteria; Pseudomonadati; Pseudomonadota; Gammaproteobacteria; Vibrionales; Vibrionaceae. The record is from RNAcentral.
CAGCCUGAUGCAGCCAUGCCGCGUGUAUGAAGAAGGCCUUCGGGUUGUAAAGUACUUUCAGUUGUGAGGAAGGGUGUGUAGUUAAUAGCUGCGCAUCUUGACGUUAGCAACAGAAGAAGCACCGGCUAACUCCGUGCCAGCAGCCGCGGUAAUACGGAGGGUGCGAGCGUUAAUCGGAAUUACUGGGCGUAAAGCGCAUGCAGGUGGUUCAUUAAGUCAGAUGUGAAAGCCCGGGGCUCAACCUCGGAACUGCAUUUGAAACUGGUGAACUAGAGUACUGUAGAGGGGGGUAGAAUUUCAGGUGUAGCGGUGAAAUGCGUAGAGAUCUGAAGGAAUACCAGUGGCGAAGGCGGCCCCCUGGACAGAUACUGACACUCAGAUGCGAAAGCGUGGGGAGCAAACAGGAUUAGAUACCCUGGUAGUCCACGCCGUAAACGAUGUCUACUUGGAGGUUGUGGCCUUGAGCCGUGGCUUUCGGAGCUAACGCGUUAAGUAGACCGCCUGGGGAGUACGGUCGCAAGAUUAAAACUCA